AGAGUUUGAUCCUGGCUCAGAACGAACGCUGGCGGCGUGCUUAACACAUGCAAGUCGAACGCGAAAGGGGACUUCGGUCCCCCGGUAGAGUGGCGCACGGGUGAGUAACGCGUAGAUAAUCUACCCCUAUAUUUGGAAUAACAGUUCGAAAGGACUGCUAAUACCGGAUACACUUAUUUGGACGCGAGUUUGAAUGAGGAAAGGUGACCUCUUCUUGAAAGUUACUGUAUAGGGAUGAGUCUGCGUACCAUUAGCUAGUAGGUAGGGUAAAGGCCUACCUAGGCUACGAUG
RNAcentral lists this ribosomal RNA (291 nucleotides) under uncultured bacterium. RNAcentral describes it as "partial 16S ribosomal RNA". It matches the Rfam family "Bacterial small subunit ribosomal RNA", at positions 8 to 281 of the family's 1533-position model. The record is from RNAcentral.